Molecule: long non-coding RNA, 5899 nt
Filed under: Pelobates cultripes (western spadefoot toad)
Lineage: Eukaryota; Metazoa; Chordata; Amphibia; Anura; Pelobatidae
Source: RNAcentral
CUGUAAUUAAAUUAUUUAAGUUAAACCUCCCCCCCAAGCUAAUUGUGGACAAAAUUGGGGGGGAUUAACAUGAUUUUUAGCAUUUUAUGCCACUUUGCGACUUAUUUAUUUAAUUUAUUCAGCAUCCAUGUUAAAGGUGCGUUUGUAUAGUUUAUAUUUUUAUUUACAACUGAAGCACUACAUUAUUUGCUGAUUAGAACAACAGAGCGAAAUUUGUGGACAAGCAUUUAUGAUGACUCUCGAGUUAUACAGUUUUAGGAAAGGAUGACACUGCUGUAUUUAUUCACCAAAGAUUUGCAAGAAACUUUAUAGCUUUAAGGCUUCUAUCACAAGCUGGAAAAAUAAUAAAAAAUAAAUAAAAUAAUUUAAAAAAAAAAGACAUUCCAAACACAAAAACAAGCGAGAGAGAAAACCCUUAACCAGCUGCUUCCAAGAAAGAACUAUGUGUGUAAUGGAAAAAAAAAUAAAAUAAAAAAAGAAAUAAAAAAGAAAACAAAAACAUUUCUAUUCCAAGUGAGAACCAUAAAUAGGCUACCUCACUGACUUUUUUCCUUUUGUAAUUUUAAUCGUGUUGAUGAUACCAAAGAUACCAAAGAUUUGUUUCAUGUGCGGUCUGUUCCUUGCAUCUGCUCAUUUCCAACUUCUAUUCUUAUUUGGUUGAAGAAAGGCAUACAAAGUUAAAUUGAAGGUCCUUCUUUAACUAAAAUAAUCUUACUCUCUUACAUAUAUACAGCUGAAGCUCAGAUACCCCAAAGAAAAGUCUGUGUGGAAUUUGCCUAUUGAAAUCAGGGAAGUCUUUGGUACUCAUAACUGCAGAGCUUAAGGUGGCAACGCAGGGUGUUGCUAGUUCAUGUGACAAUGGAUCAGGAAAAUAGUUACAUUGAUCAGACAUAUAAUAGAAUUUUCAAUGGACUUUCAUAUAAUUGUUGAUAAUAGAUGUUUAAAGAUUAAAGGUACAAAUUUCAGAAAAGGCUUACAGUUCCUGAAAGGAUUAAUGACCAUCGCAGUAGAUAAACACUCUCUCAAAAUUGAGGCCAAGUGCAGAUGGUGAUUAAUUCAAAGUUUAGUGAAUUAUAAUUGCAGUUUAAUGCAGAAACCCAAAACAAGAGCACACACUUGAAAUAGCAGUAGCAUGCUUCUGGUUAGACAGAUUGUAGCAUGCAGGCCAUCACAGCUAAGGUAUGAGUAUGUGUUAUAUACACACACACACAGCACUUGGUAUCAAAGUGACUAACAACACCUCGCAGUGAGUAACACUCCUCGCACCGGUAUGGACGAACUGGGCAAUUCAUUGCUGAAAAUUAAAACACUCCAGCUGGUGAGGGACAAAUCAAUCAUUGCCGUCACCUGAAGGUUGUCAUGAGUUGAAGUCCCAGGUGUUGGAUACCGUGUUACUCACAGCUGCCUUAAGUAAACAGGGUAUACCAGUACCAAUAACCCUGACGGAAUAGCUUCCUCCACACUCACUGUGUUUCCUCUCCGCAUCACACUUUGCUUGCAGAGUAUGACGUAACUAUGGGACAAGUGCCUUGCUUGAACCAAAGCAACUGUUAAGUUGGUCUAGCCUGCCCUUCUCUCUAUUUUGUUUCCCCAUGGGAAUAUGUCUGUAGAGCUAGAACACCCAUAACUCAUUGGUGCACAUAACAUCAGUCUAGACUCGAGCUUUAAACUAUAUCUUGCUUUUCAAAAAAAACUAUGUACACUAAUACCAAAGUUCCUCCUAACUAUCCUAUGUCCCAAGUUCUGCGCUUUCUGUAGAUAGAUAUAUAUAUAUAUAAAUAUAAAUAUUUUUCUUUCUUACUCUCUUUGUAUCUUCACGGUUCCAAAGCUUUAAUAUGGAAUUAGGCAGCAUGGCAACGCAGACCGCACAAUUCCUUACCGAUUUUUCUCAGAUAUACCUCAUAGAUAAUAGUGUUUAGAGUAAUGUUAUUAUAGCGUAUGUAAUAUAUUGCUCACUGUUUCUUUUAGUAACUGUGAUUUAAAGAAAAAAAAGCUUUAUAUGUUCUAGGUUGUGAUUUUGUAAUAGUCAAGAAGGUGCGCUUUAUGAUGAAACAAUGUCGGUCUUUUUUGUUUAUUUUUGGAUUUUAUUUAUUACGGAUCGGGGGAAAGUUGUAGAAUGAGGCCCAACGUUUACAGUUUUCAUAUUUUGUUUUUAUUUUCUUGCUGAAGAAACAACCAAUAUUAACGUCUUUAUGGUCAGAGGGACUUUGCUGAGCAAAGCGUUUUAUGAGCUCUGGCUUGAAAGAGAUUAAUUUGUUUUGUUGAAUAAAAAGAAAAUAAAUACUGUUUUCCACAUUUGUGCUACCGUUUUAAAAAUUGUAAUGUCUGUGCUUUUGUUAUUUGUAACUACCAGUCAAUGCAUGAGAAAAAGACAAUUCAACAUUAGUUACAAUGUACUGCAUCGUGGUUCUUAAUUGCAACAUUCUCUCCUACUCCAAACAAAUUGUUUUAUGUCUAUAUUUUUCAGUUAUUUUAACGUUCUGCACAGGGAGCUACUAUUUUGUUACAAAAUGGUGCGACUACUGUACAGUAUAUAAAAAAACUGUAAACACAUGCACAAUGUACACUUAUGGAGUUGAAAUACAAACAAGAUUUAUCAGGUAUGCAAAGUAUUGCAUUGUUAUGGAAGAUCAAAUUAAAAGUGCAAACAUGUAUUGUUAUGUCGAUCCUAGUAGUAGGUAGCCUGCAGCUCUCAGGCUGUUGAUGGAAUAUAAAUCCAAUGAUUCUUUGCAGCGCUGUAGACUGGCAUAGGAUUAUGGGAGUUGUACUUUAUCGAUAGCUGGAAAAUAACAGGCUGUCUUUUUCUGGCCUAGGUCCUCAUAAUUAAUACAGUUUAGUAUUCGUACACUCAUAUUAAUAAUGGAGCAGAUAUACAAAGCUGGGGUCUAUCAGUCCGGGCAUUCAAAGACAUUUUCUGCUUUGUUUUUAUCCCGUAUAUAUAUGUUUUUCACACACUGAACAGCAUGAUUUAGUUAAAAAAACCAAAAACAAAUACCAGAUGUACAGGUUAGUGACUGUAGUGUCUAGCUUCCAGCUGAGUAUUGCACAAACUUGGACCUUAAGCAGAUAACACCUGUACCUUGAUCUGUAAACAGGAAACAUAAUAUGGUAUGAUUUAUAUGUUUUAACUUCUCCCAUCAAGGAGUGCAUGGACCAGUAAUGUCUCAAACUUUCUUCUCCCGCUGGUGAAGUUCUAUAUUAGAAAUCUCAGCCAGUAUUGAAUGACAAAUUCACGUCCUUAGCACACAGCAUUCUACUUGAUGCAUGCGAAAUUUCAGAAAUUGCAUUUCUUUGCGAUUUUUUUCUGUUUGCCAUACCAUACAAUAAGCAUUGAAUAUGUGCAAAAACAUGAUCUCAAAACAGUUCAGAGAAUCUUUAUAACAACCACACCCGGCAGUUUGCAGAAGAACAAAAUGGUGUGCAGUAGAAAGGUCAGGAUGUGGCUGUUAUGAAGUUUGCCUUCUUGAUUGUUUUAGUGCUAGAUAACACUCAAAAGUGAUUAGAGGCAGCAUUAAUAAGGCAUAGGCUAUCACUGGAUGAGAAUGUUGGGAAUUGGAAAAAACAUUAACUGCCACCCUAGCUGAUCUAACACUGGAAUUGUUUGCCACAUUGUACAUCUCUGUUCCUGUGUGCUCAUCAAAUAUUAACUCUCUUCAGUACUUAUGUUGGGUUGUACAAUGUCACGUGUUCCCCAGAUAUUUACAUUCUGUGGAUUUUGUUAUAUGAAGACUGCGGGGUUGGAAUAACACCCUUUGGUUAAAUUUACAGCUAUAAGCACCAAAGAUGCAUGAGUCAAAAAUGUUUAAACAAGUAAUGUACACACUAUCCAAUAUCACAUUGUAUUGAUUUCUGUUUUGUUGUAUUAAGUCAUCAUGUGGCAUUCAAAGAAUCAUGUCUUUGUUUAUGUUUUUCUGUACUAUGUAUGUCUAUUUUCUGCCAAAGAAUACCAAAGGUUUCAUAAUAUUCAAAUUUACUACAAAGUGUUGGAUGUGAGCAGCAGUUUAUAAUUCAAAACAUAUUCUGUGUUCUUCCACUAAAACGUGUUACCAUUUGCAGUUCGGAAUCUUUUGAAUUUAUGAUGCCAUGUAUAUAAGUGUAUGGAUUUAAAAUAAGCCACCAAAUGAAGUUUGCCAAAGAAAACAGUGCUUUGUGGUAUUUCAGUUCAUAAUAUAUGUAAAAACAAAUAUGCUGUGUUGUUUUCUAAGUUUGUAUUUUUUUUGUUGUUUUUUGUUCUUGUUUUAUCUGAUUCAGUAUUCAAACAAACAAAACACAUGCAAUGUGGGUGAUCUUACAUAUAAUGUUCUUCCUCUGUUUUGCCAAAGAGUACAGCAUUGUUUAUUUGCCAAAAAUCUGAAUUUGUUUUCUCAUGUUUUCUCAUGUUUAAGUGUUCUACAAAAUUUUAACGUUGCUUUCUACUUGCCUAUUUUUUUUUUACUUUUUUGUUUGUUUGAAUGAUGUUUUUUAUCCAUCAUAUGUUAAGUUUACCUUUCAUUUCUCAAAGUGCAUUUCUAAUUUAAUUUGCCAAAUCUAUAACACAUGCUUCCAGGCUUUUAUUUUCUUUUGCCAAAAAAUCCCCAUCCCCUAACCCCUGGUCAACAAAUCAGGCAGUAAACAAAAAGUGUCAGACUAACCUCCUUGCAAGGUAACCUUAAAUGGAGUAUACUUGUAAUUGAAGGAAGUUUUAAUAUUGCUAGAUAGCAAAUUUAAAAGAAAUAUAUUUUUAAAUUCAAAUUCACAGGAUUAGUAACUUAUUCCUUUAAAAAAACAUGUUGCAUAUAAACGAGUUGGCAAAACCACAGAAAUUAACACAGAACCAAUUAGCAAGGCCUAUGUGGUAUGAUAAAUAGAAAUUGACUAUAAACAAAUAUAACGUAAUAUGCACAACUAACUAAAAACUUCAUGGACUUUAUUUAUACGAUUUACACACUAUUACAUGUAUACCUGGAAUUAAAUAACAGACUACCAAACUCGUUACAACACUUGACUCAAAAAAUACAACUAAUUAUCACUAUAUGUCACAGUUUUGUGGUGUAGGUGAUAAGAUUUGAUACCUUGAUACAUCACACAUUUAUAUACAUACACAAUCUUCUACUAAUAUUAACUUUAUUCUUUUCAGAUAUAUGUACAGUAUGUAUAUAGGACAGGGUAGGAGAUGUGCUAAGAUUUGAUACAUUUUAUUGCAUCCACUCCAGCAAGAACAAUUCCUCCAGGGUUCUGCCUGAUUUUAUACAGAACUGAAAAGGCUUUCUCAUAUCACACUUUUAUAGAUCACUCCCUUCACUAAACUGCUAUAGCUAUAAACAUUAAGUCUUUGAGUGAAAGAGAGGUGACCAAACGCAAUUCUCACCACUCUUGCUCUCAUCAGGUUGAAACAAAUUUACCUACUAAACUUUAUUUUAUUUUUCCUAUCCUUCUAAUAUGUUUACAUCUGCAUACUAUGUGUACGUUUUUUAUGUUUUGUUUUGUUUUUGUUUGUUUUUUUACACUUAAUUUAACCACCUGUUACUCCUUCUGUUACUGUGGUCCUUAUUUCUGCUGCUGUUUCGACUAAAGGUGAACAUGCUGGUAAAUAAUGAUGCGUUCGGGCACCUUAAACCCAUCGCUAAAUUCCCAGUUCUCCCCUGAUUCUGUUUAGUGUUGAGAGGCUAUUUUGUAUUUGAUGUUUUUUCAACAUAAUGUCAUCAUUGUUAAACACUAAUGUUUUGUCUUCAAUGUCGCUUUAACUGGUUUCUUUUUAUUUAAUUCCUAUCAUUAAAUGAUAGUGCUGUAAAUUCUGCAAUUAAUGUCAAAUAAACAGCUUUAAUUCACUGAUUGAAUGCCUUGUGUUCUUAUAAAUCUGUGGUCAACUUAUGUUUGGUAUUGUGUAUACAUUUAUAACCCCUUGACAAACGGUAUCCAC